Molecule: ribosomal RNA, 497 nt
Filed under: uncultured bacterium
Lineage: Bacteria
Description: partial 16S ribosomal RNA
Rfam family: Bacterial small subunit ribosomal RNA
Source: RNAcentral
GAUGAACGCUGGCGGCGUGCCUAAUACAUGCAAGUCGAGCGAACGGACGAGAGGCUUGCUUCUCUGAUGUUAGCGGCGGACGGGUGAGUAACACGUGGAUAACCUACCUAUAAGACUGGGAUAACUUCGGGAAACCGGAGCUAAUACCGGAUAAUAUUUUGAACCGCAUGGUUCAAAAGUGAAAGACGGUCUUGCUGUCACUUAUAGAUGGAUCCGCGCUGCAUUAGCUAGUUGGUAAGGUAACGGCUUACCAAGGCAACGAUGCAUAGCCGACCUGAGAGGGUUAUCGGCCACACUGGAACUGAGACACGGUCCAGACUCCUACGGGAGGCAGCAGUAGGGAAUCUUCCGCAAUGGGCGAAAGCCUGACGGAGCAACGCCGCGUGAGUGAUGAAGGUCUUCGGAUCGUAAAACUCUGUUAUUAGGGAAGAACAUAUGUGUAAGUAACUGUGCACAUCUUGACGGUACCUAAUCAGAAAGCCACGGCUAACUACGUG